Lactuca sativa (garden lettuce) is the source of this 78-nucleotide small nucleolar RNA. RefSeq annotates it as small nucleolar RNA SNORD18. Lineage: Eukaryota; Viridiplantae; Streptophyta; Magnoliopsida; Asterales; Asteraceae. The record is from RefSeq and is a predicted model, not a curated record.
GAGAUAUGAUGAGCAAAUUUAUUGGUCCGUGUUUCUGAAUUUACAGUGACGAUAGAUCUUUAACCAAACUCUGAUCUC